RNAcentral lists this ribosomal RNA (253 nucleotides) under uncultured bacterium. Its description in RNAcentral is "partial 16S ribosomal RNA". It matches the Rfam family "Bacterial small subunit ribosomal RNA", at positions 524 to 776 of the family's 1533-position model. The record is from RNAcentral.
UACGGAGGGGGCAAGCGUUGUCCGGAUUUACUGGGCGUAAAGAGCGCGCAGGCGGUCGUUCAAGUCGCGUGUGAAAGCCCCCGGCUCAACUGGGGAGGGUCACGCGAUACUGAUCGACUCGAAGGCAGGAGAGGGUAGUGGAAUUCCCGGUGUAGUGGUGAAAUGCGUAGAUAUCGGGAGGAACACCAGUGGCGAAGGCGACUACCUGGCCUGUUCUUGACGCUGAGGCGCGAAAGCUAGGGGAGCAAACGGG